UGAGGCAGGAGAAUUGCUUGAACCCAGGAGGUGGAGGUUGCAGUGAGCCGAGAUCAUGCCACUGCACUCCAGCCUGGGUGACAGAGUGAGACUCCA
RNAcentral lists this microRNA precursor (96 nucleotides) under Saimiri boliviensis boliviensis (Bolivian squirrel monkey). RNAcentral's name for it is "miRNA (ENSSBOG00000005548.1)". The record is from RNAcentral. Lineage: Eukaryota; Metazoa; Chordata; Mammalia; Primates; Cebidae.